UUGUACAAUUUUGGGACUACGUAUGCGCUAUUCGAUACUGAGCAUGCGCCAUUCAACACUGCGCAUGCGCUAAUCGAUACUGCGUAUACACGGAACCUAACCUAACCUUACCACAAUAUCUCGAAAACGGUAAGACCUCCAGCUCUGAAACCAACUUUAAUCGGUUUCUUGUAGUCAAUUUAGGUUAUAUAUCGAACCUGAGUUUUCAAUUUUGGUUGGGCCAUUCGGAAGCACAGCUGCUCUUUGCACUCUUAGCAUUUUUUGAUACGAUUAAGAAAAUUUUACAGUUGAGUUUUUGAAAACCGAAUGUUUUUUUUCUGACGAGAAAAACAAAGACGAAUUUUGAGGGUCGCUAUUAUUCAUCUAGGCUCCGUCGUUAGAAGUUUAAAAUUUUGAUAAAUAUAUGUAUGUAUUAAAGAUCCAAACUGAAGCAAAAAAAUUACAUAUUUCUGACAGAAAUAUAAUACUACUACAGAGGAUAUUUCCUUCAACUUUCUAUGAUUCAAUUUAGUUGGCGAACAAAAUAAAGUGGUUUUGAUGGACAAACUAUCGCGAUGCGGACUCGUGACGCGAGGACGAUAUUUUUAUAAGUUCGGUGGCAUUGGUCCAACCACAUUGGACCACCCUCGAUCGAUCUCGUUUUGAAAAUAAAAAUGAACAUCCGUUCACUUUGAAUCGCCGACCAUUUACGAAUCGUUAACUGGCACGGUCGAUGCAGGAAUUAUUCUAAAUGAAUCAACUGUUUCCUCUAUACUUGUUUGAUCACCGACCAUAAACUUAGCCACACAAUUAGUGAAUAAUUCGAGGGAAUACGUAGAACAAACAAAUAUAGUCAACGGAUUUAUUUUAUUGUUAAAUCUCGACUUCUUCAAAUAAGAACUUCAGAAAUAAUAAGAUAGAUACGUUCAUAUAGUUCCAUUAUUAUCAUUUUACAAGUUUUGUGGCAAAAUUUGAAAUUAGAAUUGAAAAUUUAUUCACUUAAUUAAAUCAAUUUUGUCUUUAAUUAUUAGGUUUUGCAUCUUCUUGAAAACUAUUUUAAGUUUGAAUAAUUUAAUAACAGUAAAACUUUAAUAAUUGAAGUUAUGAUGAUUUUUAAAAAUCAAUCUUCAAUUGAAAAAAGAAAAGGCACAGAGUUAAUUUGUACAUCCAAUAUGAAAAUCGAGAAGAAAAAUUUAGGAAUUUGUCCGUGUAAAUAAUUAGGUACAUAAAAUAUUGUCAAUAUUAUGAAAAUCGUAUUAUUAUAAUGGGACUUUUUAUUUAUACAAUUCAACCGUGAUGUUCUCGUAGAAGGACAAAUGACUCGCAUUUUGAGUAUAGAAUUCACGAAAAUGCUGAAGACACAAGAAAGUUGUAUUUUCUUAGAAAUUCCAUGUAUUUGUUGGCCGACUUACAUACCCCGCGUGGUGUAACUUGUAACUUAAAAAUACCCUCUGAAUAUUCUUCAAACGAAUUUUUUUCUCGUGUUCAGUAAUAUUCAACGUAAAGUAUGAGUCACAAAAUAAAGGAUGGGUCUUAAUAAAAAUAUCUCAUCUAUGAAGAAUGACCAAAACCCACUAAAAAGUAAUGCGUUGAUUGGCACAGUGGAAGUGGAUAUGCAUGGUCAGACGUACUGAAAAUUUAAUUAAUAAGGAUACAAGCAGUUAAUUUUCAAAUUUAAGCUUUCAGUUUGUUAGCUGAUAUUGUUAAUAUACGUAAUAAUAGUAUUAUUUAAAAUUUUAUUCGUUGUUUCUUUUAUCAAUUGUGCCAUUGGCUAUGAAAGUGAGUUAAGUUAAAUAUUUUUCAUGCAAAAAUUCCUACAUAUUAUUAUGAUGUAGAUUGAUAUAACAUAAAAUAAAUAAAAAAUAUAACUUCUUUAAAUUUUAGCUUUACGAUUAGAGCAUUUCGUUUUAUAAAAAAAUAAUUGUGAAUCAUGGAAUGCCUGGAAAUUUUAAUGUUAAAAUUUGUAGAAAAUAUCGCGUCCUUAUCGAUAAUAUAAUCGUACGACAGUUAACGAAUUUUUAUUUUUUGAUUAUGUAACAAUAUUGUUGAUAGUCAUCGAUCAAACCGUUCGUUCUUCUAUCUUUUUCCGUUUUUUACGCUUUGCAAGAAAAAACGUCGCAAUGAAGAUAAGAAGCCGAAGUUAGAGGACUUUUAUCGGGCCAGGUUCCCUCGAGAGAGCGAACGAAGAGAAAACUGACGCAUCCACGCGGACAUUGUGGGUCAAGGUUCGCGGUGAUAGUCGUCGCCGUCGUUUCGCCGAAUCGCUUUGCCACAGAUACGUCGAAUGUACGUCGAAUUAGGUAGCCAAUGUUGCCGAGCCGAUGAUUUCUUCGAUGUUCAUUCUUGGAUUUCUCGUUGCUAAUCGUUUCUUUGUUGUUUUCGCACGAAUGAUGGAUAAUCUGGCAGGAACCUUGUUGUGGUUUCAGUUCUAGAAAAGCACUCUUGGUAUAACGACUUCAUAUUUUUUGUAAACGUAAAUCAUGGCGAUGAAGUUUGCCAUCUGUAUCUGAAUUAAAUUUUGAGUGUGUGUUGUUUUUUGGAGGAUAGUUAUUAAUUUUUUAAUUUGCAACAUUGAUGGGUUGAUUAUUUUGAAGGAACAAGUAACCAACGAACCUGAUGUAAUUAUUAGGAACGCUCUAACAAUAAGUACCAAGAAGGGAAGUUAGAAAUGUGAACGUGAUUGUGGGCUCUAAUUAUUAACGUACAGAGGAACAUUUCUAUUUCAUCAUUGGUUACACAACGUCUACCAUCCGCGGUUGGUAAAAUCCUUCCAUAAACGUACAUUUACAUGUAGCGCAUAAACGCUGUGUGUUUUCACUGACUCUCACUGCUUUCUAGUGUAUUGAAAAGAUAAAAGUAUGCCUGAUUACGCACGCCCAUAUUUGAUGUAACAGAUUAUGUGUUGUCAUUCUGUUAACCCUUUCGCUACUAACGGUGGAGCUGUAGUCACCCAACAAGACGGUGAAUUUCGCAUUCAUUUUUAACUUUGGUAGAGCAGAAUAUUAUUACAUUGUUAUGUAGGAUCCCGGCGGAAAAUUAUUGCGUUUUCGUCUCGGGAAACCGUCCACUAGAACUCGUCAGUGGGACUGACGUGGACGGUCCCUGCCCCAGACGACUGGGUUCUACAGGGUGAUCCUCUCGCUAGUGGACCCAAAGGAAGUGCUGCAACGAUAGAAUGAAGAAGUCGACACCCCAUUUCUGUCAUCGCUUACUUGACGGAGGUGGCCCCUGCAGCGUAGACGGCUGUGUUCGUGAAAAUGUGUGUAAUGAGCAGAAGAGUCCCAUUUAAACGCUGCGAAAAACAGAAUAUUUUCUUAACACAUUUUCACGUAUACAGCCGUCUCCGCUGCAGAGGCCUCCUCCGUCAAGUAAGCGAUGACAGAAAUGGGGUGUCGACUUCUUUAUUCUAUUGUGGCGUCACUUCCUUUGAAGAUCACCCUGUAUAUCGACAAGGCCAGUGAUGGAGCACUUGCGAGAAAGGAUGGAGUAGUACCUACUCGCGAGACACUUUGCGGCCAUCACGGGAAAGAGGGGCCCAGGCGCUUAUAACCCCCACAGUGAUUUCUAUAGUUGCCGAUUUCUUGUAUUUAAUUUCUAUUUUAUUUUAUAUUACGAGAUUAUUAUUUUGUUAUUUUUAUUUUUCAACUGCGUCUGCGUUAGGAUUGCCCCGUAUCGGGACAGCGCAUUCGCGAGCAAGUCCGCCGUAGCGAAAAGGCUAAGUUAGUAAUGGGUAGAGGUUUACGAAAAUCGGAAAAUAUCGGAUUGAAUCGGAUCGAAUGAAGGCAAAUCAGAAUUGGUCGGGUAGAGUCGGGUCAAAAUUGUCCGGCUCAGCUCAGAUUCUCGGAAGUAAAGAUGCGCGGGAACUUGAAAGUUUCGGGUACCCGAUACCCGGAUUGGAUCAGGAAUUAUUUUGGUUAGCUUAGAGUGAAUUAGAUUUUUAGAAUCAGACACGUUCAACAAAGUUCACCCCGAAACAAUUCUCCAUAUUUCGGCAAUUCCGAGUCGACUGAAAUAAUUCCCGACUCGAUCCGAAAUUUUCUGGUUCUAGCGCCCCUCUGUUAAUGGGUAAUUAAAAUUAUAGCAUCGAAUAAUUAACAAUUGCUAUAAAAGUUCUAAGCGAAGGAUUAUUUCGACGGAAAUAUGUAAAUGCAGUGUUCGACCAGUUUCAAGCGUGUCACAAAUUCCUCGACGAUUUCGAGGCGUUCCUUGAUUUGCGAUAAAAUCUACGCGUUUUCUCACAAAUCAAUCCUUUCUUUCCCUUUCCAUGCCGUCGCGAAUUUUUUUUCUUCCUAGCAAUGGCAGCAUUAGAAGUUGGUCGCGACGUUGUCCCCUCAGCAUCGACGAAACCUCGGCGAAGUUAACGAGCUUCCUGAGACGUGGCAUGGCUGGCUGGCUAUACGCGCACGUUCCUCCAGGCGCCAGUGUUCAAGAAUUUAAUUAGUGGCAUCCUCUUUCGCUUCGAAAGUAGAGUCGGCAGCUUUAUCCAUCUCGAUGGCGGUUUUCAGUGAUGCCACGAGCCGCUGAUAACUACUACCAGUACGAGUCGGCACGUCGCGUCGCGUCCGCGUGGAACGGGCACGGGCGAAUGAAAAAUUUUACUAAUUCGACGACUGCCGACUAAACGACUAUUCCAGAUUCCUCUUGUAUUAACACAUUGCCUAUUAUAUGGGGGAAAUGGGAUCACCGGUAAAGACCGCCAUUAUAGGAAUUUAAUUCAGUGUAACAAUUAUAAUUAAAAAUGAAGAGAGAAAUCAAAUACGUAGUCUGGUUUAAAAAUAACUAGACUAUAUUUAUAAAAAUCUUAUGAUACACUUUUAAGAAUUAACCCGUAUAAGACUAUGUGGUUCUUAACCCUUUCCUUAUGAUCACUUCUGCCAGAAACUGAGUAUGGUAGGCUAUGUACAAGUAAACAAUACUAAUAAUAAUGUAAAUAUUAGAUAAAAUUUUUUCGAUUAAAUGUUUAGCUGUUGAUGGUCGCUAUUUUUAAUAGCAGAUAUACUUACAAUUAGUAACUUGCAAUGUGGUGAUGGUUAUUAUACACAAAUUAAUAUGUUACAUUUGAUGGUUAUUGCAUACAAAUUGUCACAAAUAAAAAUAAAUUAGUAAUUAAACUUAAUUGUGUAUAACACUUUGGCUUGAACAGCAUUUACAUAAUUUCUCUAAAAAAAAGUAUUAAUAUACUUUGUGCCAUAAUAAGUUUUCGUCAUAAUGGUAAAUUUUAAUUAGUUUGAAUUUAUGUGUUCAAUAUUUAUGUACAUUUAACCAAGUGUACGAGCACUGAUUCAAGGAUGAUGCCGAAUUUAUUGAAUAUAAAACUGCUAAAGCGUUAACUCGUUGACUGUUGUGGAGGUAGCCAAUGAAUGUCACCUGGCACCAUAUAUUAAAUAUAAUUGGAUAAUUAAGAAAAAGUGAGGAAAGUGUAAUUUUCAAUAGCAUUGAUGUUACAUUGAUAAUAAUUUGAAAAUUCAAAUUGUAAAAUUGAAUAAUUAAAUCAUGUUUAUCACCUUCACUAUUUGGUGUCUCAUAUAUGGUACUAAUGUACAAUGGCAAAUUUAUACUAAAAGGUAUUAAUAAAAAUUUAAACUUAUCUUUGUUCGAAUAAUCUACGCACACUGUAAAUUAUUUUAAUAAUUUUCUAUUGACAAUAAUUAUUGAUAAUUUUCUUUUUUAAUUUUUCGUAUUUGAUAAUUUGUCUUGAUAAUUAAUUAUGUCAAUAAAAUAAUAGAUGCGAAAGCUACAUAAAACUGCAAAUAAAUUGCAAAAAAUUAAUUUUUCUGACUACAUAUUACAAAUUAUGUGUAAAGAAAAAUAGUAGGUAGUAACAUAGUGUAUUAAAUGUGACACAGCAUACAGCAGCAUUAUGUGUGUAUUACAUGAAAAAUAAAUAAAAAUUUUCUGUGUGCCAUAUCAUGACACAUUAUAGAAUAAGGGAUUAACAACUGUUAUAAUAAAGUGUUAUAGGUACUGUAUGCAUAUCUCCAUUAAAGUUCAAGUGAAUUAUUAGAUUUAAUUUUGUCUAUCCGAUGCUCGUAGCCUUAAAGUUGGUCAUGGUUAAUGGUACUCGUGAUACGAAUACCAUUUGUAUACACAUAUUUCAAUUAAUAUACAGAGGAGUAUCCAUUCACUUUCUCUGUACACUUUCCAUAAGUUUCAUAGCAUGCAAGCUUGUUACGUGAACUAUAAACAUCAAAGACACUCGAGGUAUCGUAAUUAAUAUUUUAUGAAUUUCAUUCAGAAUUAAAAAUUAAGACCUUUAUGUUCAAACAUAGAAUAGUCAUGAAAAUGAAACUUGAAAAUAUUCAUAAAUAUUUAAGAAGAUGAAUGAAUCUCAUUUGAAUCGAGGAAGAUUUAAUUCCUUAAUUAACUGUGAUGAAAAAAUCUAAAUAAUUCUAAAGCAUAAUUGAUUAAAUAAUUUUUCUUAACCAACUUAUUUCAAUAUGCAAUUAAACGCGUUCGAAAGUACUUCUGUUGUUCAAGCAAUUAGACAGUGGAAAAUUUAUGUAAUUAGAAUGUUGAUUAUUUGAAUACAAGCAAGUAAUAAAUCCUUCAACGUAAUUAGUUGUAAUUAGUAGUUCGUUGGUUGAUCCUUUAUUUUGAAUUGAUAAGACACGAGUAGGGUAAUUAAAAAAUUAUUAUCCAAUUAAAUAUUCCAUGAAUCUUCUGCUGCAUUAAUCCUUGGAAUUUGCACUUUCUGAUAAUGUGUAACGGAACAAUUUAUCGCCAUUUAACUGAACAGAGGACGUCAAGUCACAUUGUCUACAAUUAAAAGUAAGAAUAAUUAAUUUUCUGAUUUUGCAUUCCAGUUUCAAAUUAUUAGUAUCUAUAAUAAUAAUUCUAUUGAAAAUAUUAAAUAUAUAAAUUAAUUCGCUACCUGUAGCAUUACGCCUUCCGAGUACUUGAAAAGUGACGCGAAAAUAUGAUAACAAUUAAAAUUACUUCACUAGUUCAAAUUAUCGCGACUUCUUAAAAACAAGUCUUUAAUUAAAAAAUAAAAGAAAAGACACAGAAUUAAUUUGUACCCCCACGGUAUUUAACAAGUUAAAAAAUUAAUUAAAUAAUAUGAUAAUGAUAAUGAUCAUUGGCAAUGAUUCCGAAACGGAAAGCAUAACAAGCGCUUUUUUCCUUUCGUUUUCUUACGGCGAGAGUACUAAGGAUUUUUCGAAAUAAUCGCGAACCGAAGCUGAAUAAAAAGCGUCAACCGUUGCUCGUCAAAGAGUGUAAACCACCGUUGGAAGGACGUCUAUUCUUCUCGGUUAAUGCAGAUACGCUCAAGCCGUUCCUAUGAGCAUUGCGUCAUUGCCAAUAGAAGAGAAAACAUAAGGGGUGCUGGACCACCAUUCAAUGGACGCGAACGAGCCUUGAGAACAUUUUGUUCGAGCGUUUCUAGCGCUAGGAAAAAGCUCAAUACAUAGUACGUUUGCGAUUAAAGUCACAAUUCUAUUAUGUUUGUUCUCUUGCCGGCUUGUACUUCUGCUUUUAUUGUUUCUACGCUGCUUUGUGACAUCGUGUUAGUUCGUUCAAAAAUAUUACCACCGAGUGGUUAGGAACUUUUAUAAUACAUUGAUUGUCGAAGUAGAAAUAGCCAUAUCCACUAGGGUACACCAUACUGUGGUCUAUUAAUAAGGAAAUCUUUCGAGCUGUCCUUCAGUGAUUUUAAUGCAACUGAAAUGUGUUAAAUAGGAUGCAGAAAUAACCAAUGGGUUAUUAUUAAUCGACUUCGAAAAAGGAGGAGGUUACUCAAAUCAAUCAGUAUUUUUUUUUUAAAUCUAUAUUUCUAAGGGGUGAAAAACUCCUUCAAAGUUUGCAGUAUGGUAGUGUGGUUUUUAUUUUAGUUAUUAUUUUAUUAUCUCUACGUGCCUAAGCUAAUUAUAAACGGUAAUUCUACGUAAACUAUGAAUAAAACGGAUUCGUCGCAGAUUUAUCCCAGGGCACGUCUAUUCUCCAUACGUCGUCGUCGUCGUCAACUGAUCGUCGAUUUUUUGUGAUUGGACGCGUCGCGGACCCCCUGCGACCCCCCUGCAAUCCGCAGUGGAAUCCAGAAUAUUCUGGAAACAUCCAACUAUUUACUGGGACUAGGUGUAUAACACUAUAAAGUACUUACAUUUGUGAUUAGGCUGUAUCUUUGUUGCCAUCAUAUAUUUUCGAUAGUACGUUAUCCAGUAUGGGGAGAUACAUAUAGAGGAAACAGGAAUUCCUAAAAUCUUAAUUUUGACAAUAAUAACUCUUAACGGACGAGUUGCUUUUUUUUUAUCUUUUUCCAUUUCUGGGAAUUUUUUAGGGCAUAUCAAAAUGUGUGCAAAAACAUAAAUCUACAUGUCCCAUCUGUUAAGUGUUAAUGUGAAAAUUAAUUUAGAAAACAAAUAAUGUAAUUUUUAAUUAGUAACUAUUAUAAGAGUUAGUAUGUAACUGAGAAGUAUGAAUGAUAAAUAACAAUCAAUUAAAAUUUUCCUCCGGAGAAGCCAACGGAGAUGAAAAUGAGAACCCGGGACAUCACCUCCCAUUUUUCAUGGGAAAACUUAAUUUGAUCGCGAGUGCACUUUAGUAUCUGUUGCCUCGUAGACCCUUCAGGUCCCGGCAAAAUAACCAUCAGGUAGAAAUUAUACCAGAAGUUAUAAAACCAACGCCUGGUCGACUACCCUUCAUUGGGGUCGCGUACCGUUAGGCGCUCCGCAAUUAAAAAUUAAGGAAUUCCUAAAAAUUCUGAAAAAAACCCACGGUAACUCGUCGACUGCUUCACUUCCACUCUUCCACACCUCCCACCACAUUUUCUCCACCAUUUUCUCCGAAACCAAUAACUCCUGCCCAAUCAUAACACAAUUUUCCUUUCCGUUCUACAUAUUUCUUCUUGCACUUCCACCAAUCAGCGAUAGUUCUAGGCAUAGACAAUUUUCCUUUCUGCCAGCACACGAAAACGAAGGCAGAACUCCGACAACUCUCAUAGUAUUAACACCUCGGAAAACAUAUACAUUAUCUUGUAUAUCAUACAGUUUGUUACUGAAAUAUAGUUUAUAUUAAACCAAUCAACCGAUUCAAUCAUUUGACGUAAAACAAUUCUCGAGUACUAAUUUAUUCGAGGAUAGCUGGGACAUUUGAGAUCGAAACAACAGUUUCAAGCCGCAGUAUUAUACAGUAUCAAUUUUACAUGAAAGAACCAUUUCCUUUUUCUUUUAUUUCACUGUAUAUAAUUAAAUUAAUUAAAUUUUAAACCGGAGUUAAAUAAAAAUUAAUCCUAUAAAUAUUGAUCGUAUUUCAAUGAACCAAUUUAUACAGCAUACAGAUAAAAUGUCUUUCACAAAUAAAAAAUAAAAUGUUUACAGUUUUUCACCUUGAAAGAAAAAGUUUGAUAAAAGUUGACCACUAGUACUGGAGGUCGAUAAGCAGAGACCUCUUAAUUAUUCUACGGGUUCGCAGCGUGUACCUAACCGUGUAAAAGCAUCGGUCCGUUUUGAUUCGCGGUUGAACGAGGGCGGAGUACGUGAACGACA
Osmia lignaria (orchard mason bee) is the source of this 9464-nucleotide non-coding RNA. The record is from RefSeq and is a predicted model, not a curated record. Lineage: Eukaryota; Metazoa; Arthropoda; Insecta; Hymenoptera; Megachilidae.